GCCUGGGUGGCUCAGUCAGUUAAGCGUCUGACUUCGGCUCAGGUCAUGGUUUCACGGUUCGUGGGUUCGAAUCCUGCACCGGGCU
Molecule: transfer RNA, 85 nt
Filed under: Felis catus (domestic cat)
Lineage: Eukaryota; Metazoa; Chordata; Mammalia; Carnivora; Felidae
Also listed under: 1 other name
Rfam family: tRNA
About the family: Transfer RNA (tRNA) molecules are approximately 80 nucleotides in length. Their secondary structure includes four short double-helical elements and three loops (D, anti-codon, and T loops). Further hydrogen bonds mediate the characteristic L-shaped molecular structure. tRNAs have two regions of fundamental functional importance: the anti-codon, which is responsible for specific mRNA codon recognition, and the 3' end, to which the tRNAs corresponding amino acid is attached (by aminoacyl-tRNA synthetases). tRNAs cope with the degeneracy of the genetic code in two manners: having more than one tRNA (with a specific anti-codon) for a particular amino acid; and 'wobble' base-pairing, i.e. permitting non-standard base-pairing at the 3rd anti-codon position.
Source: Rfam by way of RNAcentral